CGGCGUGCUUAACACAUGCAAGUCGAACGGAACUCUUUGGAAUCAAAGGCUUCGGCCAAGGUGAAUUGAGUUUAGUGGCGGACGGGUGAGUAACGCGUGAGGAACCUGCCUUUCAGAGGGGGACAACAGUUGGAAACGACUGCUAAUACCGCAUAACGUACCGAGAUGGCAUCAUUUUGGUACCAAAGGAGCAAUCCGCUGAAAGGUGAGCUCGCGUCUGAUUAGAUAGUUGGUGGGGUAACGGCCUACCAAGUCGACGAUCGGUAGCCGAACUGAGAGGUUGAUCGGCCGCAUUGGGACUGAGACACGGCCCAGACUCCUACGGGAGGCAGCAGUGGGGGAUAUUGCACAAUGGAGGAAACUCUGAUGCAGCAACGCCGCGUGAGGGAAGACGGUCUUCGGAUUGUAAACCUAAGUUAUCAGGGACGAUUAUGACGGUACCUGAAGAGAAAGCUCCGGCUAACUACGUG
This 470-nucleotide ribosomal RNA is filed under the name uncultured bacterium. RNAcentral describes it as "bacterial SSU rRNA". It matches the Rfam family "Bacterial small subunit ribosomal RNA", at positions 40 to 507 of the family's 1533-position model. The record is from RNAcentral.